GAUGUGCUAAAUCACUAGCACAAGCCUCCCCUUCCCUAUUUUUAGAAUAUGCUAGCCACUUCUAAACUAUUUUUAUCAUUAAAAUAUUCAUUUCUCUCUCUCCUUCACAUCAUUUCCCUCUCUUUUUUCCCUCUCUCCUCCACUAUUUAAUAUUAUUAUAGUAAUAGGGAAUGGAUAUAGGGAGUACUAUUGGAGCUCAUGUGCUAAAUCUUGUGCUAAAU
Molecule: long non-coding RNA, 221 nt
Filed under: Daucus carota (carrot)
Lineage: Eukaryota; Viridiplantae; Streptophyta; Magnoliopsida; Apiales; Apiaceae
Description: long non-coding RNA (DCAR_LNC002500)
Source: RNAcentral